Molecule: transfer RNA, 73 nt
Filed under: Salipiger mucosus DSM 16094
Lineage: Bacteria; Pseudomonadati; Pseudomonadota; Alphaproteobacteria; Rhodobacterales; Roseobacteraceae
Rfam family: tRNA
About the family: Transfer RNA (tRNA) molecules are approximately 80 nucleotides in length. Their secondary structure includes four short double-helical elements and three loops (D, anti-codon, and T loops).
Source: Rfam by way of RNAcentral
GGGCCGGUAGCUCAGUCGGGAGAGCGUCUGCUUUGCAAGCAGGCGGUCGCGAGUUCGAGUCUCGCUCGGUCCA